CUUGGGAACGCGACGGACAUUGCUCUACUCCACUUGGCAUCCUCUUAGACCCCCUCGUGAGCCUUGGCCGACGCCUGGCAAUGCUGGUUGGCUGCACUCGUAUCUGACGAGCCCGGCGACGUCUUGCUGCAGCGGUAGCCUUGAGUGCCAGCAUCAGCGCAGUUCCAUCCGUGCUGUUUUGCACACGAGCCAGCUCCUCUCCAAGGCCCUUCAGGAUCUCGAGGCUGACCACCAAUAAAGUGUGAAUCUGGGUCCUUAAGGAGCUUGAACACCAUCAGGUGCCAAUGCUCUGCUCAUUGUGGACAAGUACUGCGACAAGGACAGCACCUGCCUUCGUGCAAUAUUUCUGGAUGCUUCUUCAUUGUGACUAAUGUGAAACUAUUGUGCAAUUUAACCUUUGUUUACUUCACUAAAAUAAUAAAUAAACCCAACAAUUACAAGAGCAAGCUUGGAAGUGUUGAGACUUCAUAUUACUUUGACUAAAAAAUAAUAAAAAUAUAGUUUUUUAAUGCAGGAAGUUUUUGCUUUUGUUUAUUCCAAAACAGGCCAACUGCAUCUCUUAAAG
Molecule: long non-coding RNA, 565 nt
Organism: Rhipicephalus sanguineus (brown dog tick)
Lineage: Eukaryota; Metazoa; Arthropoda; Arachnida; Ixodida; Ixodidae
Exons: 3
Source: RefSeq, a predicted model, not a curated record